This is a long non-coding RNA of Carassius auratus (goldfish), 2300 nucleotides long. The record is from Ensembl. NCBI's taxonomy places the organism in Eukaryota, Metazoa, Chordata, Actinopteri, Cypriniformes, Cyprinidae.
UUUCCCAUUUUUUAUGCUUUCUAAAGCUGAAUAACUAUCAGAUAUAAUCACUGAGUUAUUUAACUCAUUUCCCUCUACCCAUUCCAAGGCCAACAAAAUUGCAACCAGCUCUGUUGUGUAUACUGAUAAAUGAUCUGUUAUUCUUUCCUGACAUAUUACCCCAUUCUUUGGAAUAUAUACUGCUGACCCAGCGUGUCCUGUCUUUGGAUCCUUAGAACCAUCUGUAAAUAUGAAUGUGUCUUCAGGGAAAUGCAUAUCCAGAUAAUAUUUAACAAUAUCCCUCACUGCUACUUCCUUUGACUUACUUUUUAUUUUCUUAUGAAUGCCUAAAUCUACAUCUGGUAUAGGGAAAAACCAUGGUGGAAUAGGAGGGACUGAAACCGUUGAACAGUACUGUAAUUUAUGUAACCCAAUAUUCUCAGCUUUCGCAUCGCCAAUCCACCCAAAACUUUUGUAAUUGGACUUUCCAUGUUCCCAGCAAUCUUUUAAGAUAGCUUUAGCUGGGUGGCUAUCAACUUGUCCCUUCACAUUAAUCCAGUAUGCUAACAUCAGUUGUAUCCUUCUGAUCCUCAAAGGCAUCUCACCCAUUUCCACUUGCAUAGAAGAUACCGGGGAUGUUUUAAAAGAUCCACUACAUAUCCUUAGAGCCUGAGCUUGCAUGACAUCCAAAGCUUUGAUGUUAGACUCCGCAUUGAGUUCUCUCUCACUUACACAUACAAAUCACGCAAAAUUGUCAAAAUGAGAAUAUUUGGCGAGUGACAGUCUUAAAUAAGUCUUGACUGAUGUAAAGAGUUGGGAGGUGUCAGAUGUCUGUCGUUAUGAGACAUGUUUUAAAGUUACAUGACAGUAGUUCAUGAGAUUCAUGGUGUUUCUUUUCAUUUUCUUUUCUAAUGGCAGGUCAUAAUUGCUGCUGUACUUUGCGUCCCAAGCACCCCCUGCAUUCUUAUCAUGGAUUGCUGUCAUACAAGUUACCAUGUCCUCCCCCAUUGAGACUGAGCUACAAAUUCCCUUUGUUUUAUUUUAAACAUAAAACAUCCGGAGGAGAAUGGCACCUACGAUGGAAUUCAUACAAAUGUAAGGAACAUAUCUAAAGAAACCGUGUAUAAAGCAUUUUAUGUUGCUUGUUUGUGGAAAAUAAUUAAAGGGUUAGUUCAGUCAAAAAUGAAAAAUUCUGUCAUUAAUCACUCACUCUCAUGUUGUUCCAAACCUGUUAGACCUUCGUUCAUCUUCAGAACACAAAUUAAGAUUUUUGAUGGAAUCUGAAAGCUUUCUGACCCUGCAUAUACAGCAAGGGCCCUACCACGAUCAAGGCACAGAAACAUAGUAUAAGGACAUUGUUAAAAUGGUCCAUGUGACAUCAGUGGUUCAACUGUAAUUUUACAAAAAUAUUACUUUUAUUACUUAAGUAAACAAAAUGACAACUUUAUUCAAUGAUUUAUCCUCUCCUGGGAGAGUGCCGCCAUUAACUAGAGUACCACUACGGAUGCGUUUGCAUUAAUUUGCCAAUAAACAAGGUGCAGCGCAUGCAGGGUCUACGUCAACAGCACCACACACAUUCCCCAUGGGUCAGAGAGCUCUCGAAUUUUAUCACAAAUAUCUUAAUUUGUGAUCUGAAGAUAACUGAAUGACUUAACAGAUAUUUUAUAAGCAAUGUUUAAAAUCCUGAACGAGCGUCAAAGGUUCAGAUGAAGGAAUCUACGCUUCUAAGACUCAUGUAUGAACUACUUAUAGAUUCCGUGUAAAUUUUAGUUUUUUUUUUUUUUUUUAAAUCUCAAUUUAGGACUUGGACUAAAAAUGCAGCAAAAGAAAAAGUAGUUUCCUCAAACGGGCACAUAGCAAGAGAUACUAAAUUCACACAAACAUGUCAGUUGUAGAUGCAGAUAAUUUAGCAUGAAUAAGAGGUUAGUAAUCUAACUAGGGUUAGUUCACCCAUAAUAUUAUAUGAAUAAUCUCAUUCCAAUCCUGUUAGACUUUUGUUCAUUUUUGGAACACUAACGAAGACCCUUUUUAAUGAAAUCUGACAGCUGUACUGUAUUGGACGUUGAAAUGGUAGUUGCAUAUGCUGUCAAUUGAGGGACAGAAAGCACAGAUUUCAUUAAAAAUACUCUUCAUUUGUGUUUCAAAGAUGAAUGGAAAUCGUAUGGAUUUGAAAUAAUAUGAAGUUAAAUAACUGAUGACAAAAUUCUUUGUGACCACUAUUUGGUGCAACACCAAUAUUGUAAAAGUACCUGUUCAUGAUUUCUUUUUUCUGCAUGUUGCUGUUUAAACUAAAAAUUGUUCUAUAAUGUUUUAAUGUUAAC